GCCAGAAAGCUGCAGACUCCUUAAGGGAGAGACUCUUUUAAGCCAUUUUUUGAAACUUGCCAAAGCAAGGGACUUGUCCAGCCCAGCUUCCCCGCUCCUGCUGGCUCCUGAGGCUCAGAGACCUUGGCCACCGCCCACCUGCCCAGGCCCUGCAGCGUUUCCACGGCUCAGCCAUGGCCCUGCUGCUCCUCCUCGUGCUUGAGGGGAUUUUUGCCCUUGGGGUGAACAGCCAACAAGGAGAAGAGAAUCCGCAGGCUCUGAGCAUCCAGGAGGGUGAAAAUGCCACCAUGAACUGCAGUUACAAAUCUAGUAUAAACAAUUUACAGUGGUAUAGACAAGAUUCAGGGAGAGGCCUUACCCUGUUAAUAUUAAUACGUGCAAAUAAAAGAGAGGAACAUCAUGGAAGACUAACAGCCACUCUUGACACCUCCAUCAAAAGCAGUUCCCUGAUCAUCACAGCUUCCUUGGUUGCAGACACGGCUACUUACUUCUGUGCCACAGAUGCACAGUGUUCACCAGGCACCUGGGGCUCCUACGCAAACCCUGCCAGAGCUGCUUCUUAGA
Lemur catta (Ring-tailed lemur) is the source of this 564-nucleotide non-coding RNA. The record is from the annotation of a RefSeq genome assembly. NCBI's taxonomy places the organism in Eukaryota, Metazoa, Chordata, Mammalia, Primates, Lemuridae.